AGUGAACGCUGGCGGUAGGCCUAACACAUGCAAGUCGAACGGCAGCACAGUAAGAGCUUGCUCUUACGGGUGGCGAGUGGCGGACGGGUGAGGAAUACAUCGGAAUCUACUUUUUCGUGGGGGAUAACGUAGGGAAACUUACGCUAAUACCGCAUACGACCUACGGGUGAAAGCAGGGGAUCUUCGGACCUUGCGCGAUUGAAUGAGCCGAUGUCGGAUUAGCUAGUUGGCGGGGUAAAGGCCCACCAAGGCGACGAUCCGUAGCUGGUCUGAGAGGAUGAUCAGCCACACUGGAACUGAGACACGGUCCAGAAUCCUACGGGAGGCAGCAGUGGGGAAUAUUGGACAAUGGGCGCAAGCCUGAUCCAGCCAUACCGCGUGGGUGAAGAAGGCCUUCGGGUUGUAAAGCCCUUUUGUUGGGAAAGAAAAGAAGCAGGUUAAUACCCCGCUGUUCUGACGGUACCCAAAGAAUAAGCACCGGCUAACUUCGG
This 491-nucleotide ribosomal RNA is filed under the name uncultured bacterium. Its description in RNAcentral is "partial 16S ribosomal RNA". It matches the Rfam family "Bacterial small subunit ribosomal RNA", at positions 29 to 506 of the family's 1533-position model. The record is from RNAcentral.